UCCCUGGUGGUCUAGUGGUUAGGACUCAGAGCUUUGACUACUGUGGCCUGGGUUCAAUUCCUGGUCAGGGAA
This is a non-coding RNA of Bos taurus (domestic cattle), 72 nucleotides long. Lineage: Eukaryota; Metazoa; Chordata; Mammalia; Artiodactyla; Bovidae. The record is from Rfam.